Molecule: ribosomal RNA, 482 nt
Filed under: uncultured bacterium
Lineage: Bacteria
Description: partial 16S ribosomal RNA
Rfam family: Bacterial small subunit ribosomal RNA
Source: RNAcentral
AUUGAACGCUGGCGGCAUGCUUUACACAUGCAAGUCGAACGGUAACAGCACUUCGGUGGCUGACGAGUGGCGCACGGGUGAGUAAUACAUCGGAACGUGCCUAGUAGUGGGGGAUAACUACUCGAAAGAGUAGCUAAUACCGCAUGAGAUCUAAGGAUGAAAGCAGGGGACCUUCGGGCCUUGCGCUACUAGAGCGGCUGAUGGCAGAUUAGGUAGUUGGUGGGAUAAAAGCUUACCAAGCCGACGAUCUGUAGCUGGUCUGAGAGGACGACCAGCCACACUGGGACUGAGACACGGCCCAGACUCCUAAGGGAGGCAGCAGUGGGGAAUUUUGGACAAUGGGCGCAAGCCUGAUCCAGCAAUGCCGCGUGCAGGAUGAAGGCCUUCGGGUUGUAAACUGCUUUUGUACGGAACGAAAAGCCCUCUUCUAAUACAGGAGGGUCAUGACGGUACCGUAAGAAUAAGCACCGGCUAACUACGUG